UCCGUAGGCGGUGUGGCAAGUCGGAAGUGAAAUCUCUGGGCUUAACUCAGAGGCUGCUUCCGAAACUGCCGUGCUAGAGUGCGAGAGAGGCAAGUGGAAUUGCGGGUGUAGCGGUGAAAUGCGUAGAUAUCCGCAGGAACAUCCGAGGCGAAAGCGGCUUGCUGGAUCGCAACUGACGCUGAGGGACGAAAGCUAGGGGAGCAAACAGGAUUAGAUACCCUGGUAGUCCUAGCCCUAAACCAUCAGGACUUGGGGUUUGCCCUGUACGGGGCAAGUCCCGUAGCUAACGCGUUAAGUCCUGCGCCUGGGGAGUACGGUCGCAAGACUGAA
This 330-nucleotide ribosomal RNA is filed under the name uncultured bacterium. Its description in RNAcentral is "bacterial SSU rRNA". It matches the Rfam family "Bacterial small subunit ribosomal RNA", at positions 568 to 898 of the family's 1533-position model. The record is from RNAcentral.